Molecule: ribosomal RNA, 253 nt
Filed under: uncultured bacterium
Lineage: Bacteria
Description: partial 16S ribosomal RNA
Rfam family: Bacterial small subunit ribosomal RNA
Source: RNAcentral
UACGGAGGGUGCAAGCGUUAUCCGGAUUCACUGGGUUUAAAGGGUGCGUAGGUGGGUCUGUAAGUCAGUGGUGAAAUCUCCGGGCUUAACCCGGAAACUGCCAUUGAUACUAUAGGUCUUGAAUCUUCUGGAGGUCAGCGGAAUAUGUCAUGUAGCGGUGAAAUGCUUAGAUAUGACGCAGAACACCAAUUGCGAAGGCAGCUUGCUACACUGUUAUUGACACUGAGGCACGAAAGCGUGGGGAUCAAACAGG